This 268-nucleotide long non-coding RNA is filed under the name Arabidopsis lyrata. RNAcentral's name for it is "long non-coding RNA (ALYR_LNC002304)". The record is from RNAcentral. Lineage: Eukaryota; Viridiplantae; Streptophyta; Magnoliopsida; Brassicales; Brassicaceae.
AUAUUGGUUUUUAUCUGGAAGCUUUAUAGGAUAUCUUGUUUAUAAUGAAAAUUAAUUUCUUUAAACUAUGACGUUGAAUUGAUUCGGAGUUGAAUUGGACUAAAACAACAGCAUUUGACCCGUUAAGCUAAUAGUGCUAUUUAUAGAGAGAUAUUCUUUUGGCCAAUAAUUUCUAGCUGAUUUUUAGGAAUUUACUUUUCUUCGUUUAAAUUUGUGCGGAAAGUAAAUUGAACUUGCGAAAGAAUGAUGGCGUGAGUGUUGAAAACCU